AUUCGUGACUGGGGUGAAGUCGUAACAAGGUAGCCGUAUCGGAAGGUGCGGCUGGAUCACCUCCUUUCUAGAGUG
This 75-nucleotide ribosomal RNA is filed under the name Pseudoduganella danionis. Its description in RNAcentral is "partial 16S ribosomal RNA". The stretch from base 1 to 67 matches the Rfam family "Bacterial small subunit ribosomal RNA", at positions 1467 to 1533 of the family's 1533-position model. The record is from RNAcentral. RNAcentral also lists the same sequence under 1 other name. Lineage: Bacteria; Pseudomonadati; Pseudomonadota; Betaproteobacteria; Burkholderiales; Oxalobacteraceae.